Molecule: long non-coding RNA, 458 nt
Filed under: Vigna radiata
Lineage: Eukaryota; Viridiplantae; Streptophyta; Magnoliopsida; Fabales; Fabaceae
Description: long non-coding RNA (VRAD_LNC013653)
Source: RNAcentral
GCUGGCAUCCAUAGUAGAUGUCCUCAACACAAGUCCUCAUCUGAGUCAUACUUGUCCUCAUCCUGGGCAUCCUCAAAGUCCUCAUCCUCCUGGUCAUCAUCUUGUCCGCCUGAGGCUCUAGCAUCUCUAGACCUACUACCCUGUGCCUGCCCUUGAGGCCAAGCCAUCGCACUAUGGAACUCGUCCAUAGUCCACCUGUGCACUGGUGGCUGAUCAUAUAGUCCUACAAUAAUCUCGGUAGUGGCCACCUGUCCUCUGCGAAGGGACUUCAUCCUCGCCUCCAUCAUGAACAUGUACAUGUCCCUCAUUUUAAAAGGCUCAGGCUGCUGUGCCGGUGCAUCUGCAGGCUCAUUCUCCUAGGAACUGCUCCAGCCGGCUCAUCACCUCCACAGUACUGACGAUAGUAGGAGGCAUCAAUAGCCCUCCUCGGCCUCUUAAAGGGUGGAACUGUAGUGUCC